RNAcentral lists this long non-coding RNA (245 nucleotides) under Gossypium barbadense (sea-island cotton). RNAcentral describes it as "long non-coding RNA (GBAR_LNC021894)". The record is from RNAcentral. Lineage: Eukaryota; Viridiplantae; Streptophyta; Magnoliopsida; Malvales; Malvaceae.
UUUAGUCCAUUUAAUUUUUCUUUAAUCUAUAAUUCAACUUUUACCCUAUAUGCAAUUUAGUGUUUAUACCUAAUUACUCUUAAUUCAUGCAAAUUCACUUAAUCAAAACCUGAUUAACUACACAACUAGCUUCGUAAAUAUUUUUAAUAAAUAUUUACGAGUUCUAUUUACGGGAACGGAGUCUCGAGAAUACACUUUUCGACACCCCUGACUAUCAAGUUGUUACACGCUCGAUCACUCAUGAC